GACGAACGCUGGCGGCGUGCUUAACACAUGCAAGUCGAACGGAAAGGCACUGCUUGUGUGGGGUGCUCGAGUGGCGAACGGGUGAGUAACACGUGAGUAACCUGCCCUUGACUUUGGGAUAACUUCAGGAAACUGGGGCUAAUACCGGAUAGGAGCUCCUGCUGCAUGGUGGGGGUUGGAAAGUUUCGGCGGUUGGGGAUGGACUCGCGGCUUAUCAGCUUGUUGGUGGGGUAGUGGUUUACCAAGGCUUUGACGGGUAGCCGGCCUGAGAGGGUGACCGGCCACAUUGGGACUGAGAUACGGCCCAGACUCCUACGGGAGGCAGCAGUGGGGAAUAUUGCACAAUGGGCGGAAGCCUGAUGCAGCAACGCCGCGUGCGGGAUGACGGCCUUCGGGUUGUAAACCGCUUUCGCCUGUGACGAAGCGUGAGUGACGGUAAUGGGUAAAGAAGCACCGGCUAACUACGUG
This 468-nucleotide ribosomal RNA is filed under the name uncultured bacterium. RNAcentral's name for it is "partial 16S ribosomal RNA". It matches the Rfam family "Bacterial small subunit ribosomal RNA", at positions 28 to 507 of the family's 1533-position model. The record is from RNAcentral.